AUAUUUUAUUUUCACAAACAUUAAACAUUUAUGCUAUAAAUAUAAUAUGUUGGUAGAACGGGUUAACAUUAGUAAAUUAGAUAAUUCAUAUAUAAAAUUAACUUAUAUUAAACUUUAUAUAGAUAUAUAUAUAUAUAGUUAUUAUCUUAAAUGAAUAAACAUAAAAAGAAUAUUGAUAGAGGAAAUCCAGCGCUUUGAAUGACAGAUCAUGAUCAUAAUAAUUGAAUAAAAAUAAUUUUAAAAAAUAUAUAAUAAAAAUAUCAAAUAUAUGUGAUGAUUUGAAAUAUCAAUUAACUUACAGCAUGAAAACUAUCAAAUUGGUAUAUUUAAAAUAAUUAUAUUUAAACAUUCAAAUAUAUAAGUAACUUAAAAAAUAUAUUCUAAUUAUGUAAAAUAUAUAUAAACAUGAAAAUUAAUACCCGCACGGUUGUGCGGAUCCAAAUCUAGUUUUCAUUACAUUGGUAAAUGUAAACUUUAAAAACAAAUUAUGCUAUCCAGAAUUCUAUUGGUAGAAAGUUUUGGGAUAUAGUUUAUUAUAAAUUAAUGUAUCAAUAUUCAAUAUUUAAUAUUAAAACUUACAUUUUUUGAAACAGAAAGAGUAUCUAUUUUUUUCUUAAUAUGUGUAUUUAAUUAUCUGUCACUUCGCAAAAGCCUGACUUAGAUCUGAAAAAUCUACAUAUCCAAAAACUUUCAAAGGUCUUCAAAAGAGAGAAAAAAAUCAAAAAUAAAUUUUAUGUUUAAAUAAUAAAUAAAAUAGUCACAUUAUGUUGAAUAUAUAACUUUUUAGAAUCUAACAUAUAAAACAGAAAAACACAUAACCAAAAUUUAUAGAUCUACCUUUAAAAGAUUGGAAGAUAAGAACCAUGUAAUUAAAAACCUACAAAAACAAGAUAAAUUAGUGAGAAGUACAUGACACAAAAAUGACAAAUUGAUAACAAGUUCAAAAAUAUUAAAGAGAAGUUGAAAAAUUUUAAAGGGAAAAAAUGUGUAAAUUUUCUAUAUAUAGGAGACAAAAAAAUCAAUUUGGUUAAAUUUUUUUUUUUUUUGAUAAAAAGUUUUCAAUUAAAAGCAUAAGAGAGAAAAUUAUACAAGCAAAGCUUAGAGCAUGUUUAUUGGUGCCUCUUAAGAGGGGUUGUUAGCAUAAAUGAGAAUUAAAAUAAAAGAAAAAAAUGUGAUUAAAGCAGGAGACGCCCCUUAAUUAGGAGCACGAAGGGACGGGUCUUAGCUGCCACGUGUCGCAUUACUACUGGGAGGAAAGGAGCGGUGUCGUCUCGACGGUGAAUUUUUUUUCUCUCUGUCCUUGGGUUUCUCUUCUCUCCUGCGAAAGGUGAUUCAGUGGCGGGCUCUAUCGGUUGGUCUCGCUCUAAUCGUCGUUACAUCUCUUCUUACUCUUAUCCUCCAUCGUCUUCUCCACUAUUGUCUCCUCUCGGUUUCAAGCUUCUCUUUGGUCAAACAACAGGUAAGCUCGUAUCUCUUCUCUAGAUCUAUAGUAAUACGAUGUGCGAAUCAACGAUUUGAUGUUCCUGAUGCAAAAUUUUCAAUCCAGAAUUGAAAUUUCAAAAAAAAAAUUUGGUUUCUUGAUUGAAAAUCAGAAUGAUGAAUCUCUGUUGUGUUGUUGUUAUAAGGUCUGGUGAGCAAGCGUGUACUGCUUAUGUGAUGUUCAAGGAUUCUUAUUCUCAAGAAACUGCAGUUUUCAAUUUGCGAGCCAUUUCUCGGUGAAUAGAAUUCAGUGUACUCGGAAUCGGACGAGGAGUGGAGCGAGUAGGGCGACGUUUCAUUCUGCGUUCACUGGCACUAACAAUUCAGCUUCUCUCUCUUCUAAGGGUACCUCCACGAGGGAGAUAUGGAGCUGGGUGAAAUCAAAGACAGUUGGCCAUGGAAGAUACAGAAGGAGCGAAGUGAGAGCGGAGAUGUUUGGUCAACUGAGUAGUGGACUCGAGGCUGCUUGGACCAAACUCAAAGGAGAAGAUGUCAUGACGAAGGAAAAUAUUGCUGAGCCAAUAAGCAGUUUGUUUAAAAUGUACUUGUUUCAUAGUCUUGUAGUCUUGUAUCAGGAGAUAGAGGUCAGGUGUUAUAGUCUUGUGUCUGUAUGUAUUCGCGAGACACACUCAUCCUCUCUAUCUUUCAUCUCAAGUUUUAUCUCCAUCCUCUCUAUCUUUCAUCUCACGUUCUUUCCCUUCUGUUUCCAUAUCUGAAACAAUUUAUAUUUUAUAAACAAGAAUCUAAAACAAAUCUUGGAUGGCUUCCUCUUCUCAUCACAAUUUUUGAUCAAUAUUUUGAUCAAACUUUCGAUCAAACAUUUGAGAAUUUGUUCAAUCAUUUUUAUUGUUAAGAACUUUUAUUAAGAAACUACCAAUAAACCAUUAUUAUUAAGUGUCUCUUAACAAAGUCUCUGAUCUUAAUUUUAAUAGUUAAAAAUUCACUAAGGCCCACUUAAAAACCUGUCAAAAAAGAUAGAUUAGUGAGAAAUACAUGAGACAAAAAUGAAAAAAUCAUAUAAAGUUUGGUAUUUUCAAGUCAAAGAGAUUAUAGUGGGUUUGAAGAGUUUUAGUUUAGAAAAAAAGUAAGAUUUUAUACAACAGAAAGUUACCAAAUGAAGAAAAAUCAAACAUAAAAACUUAUCAAAACGCUCAGAUCUAUUAUAUAAAAGAGAGAGACAUGGGAGAAAGACUCCGUCAGACGAUUUCCAAGAAGUCCAGACGACCUCUUGGAAGUCGUCUAGCGCAUUAUAUUUUAGAUGACUAACAGGUAAGUCGUCCCAGACGUCUUCCAGAUCUGAAAAACCUGCAUAUCCAAAUCCAGAUCUGAAAAACCUGCAUAUCCAAAAACGUUCAAAUGACUUAAAUCAGAGAAAAUUAGUGGAAGAUUAGAUAAAUCUAACAUUAUUGAACACACAAAAAUACAUAUCUAAAAUUGAUAGAUCUACCUUUAAAUGAGUGGAAUAUGAGAACCAUCUGAUUAAAAACAUGCAAAAACAAGAUACAUUAGUGAGAAAGAAAUGAGACACAAACAAUAAAUUGAUAUAAACCUUAAUGUUUAUAAGCUCAAAGAGAUUAGAGAGAGGUUGAAAAGUUUUAGAAUGAUUAACAUUACAUUUUUGUUGUAGCCAUUUGAGAGAAUGAAAGAGAAUGUGUAAUUUUUUCUUUAUAUAGGGAGACAAAAAAUCCAAUUAGGUUAAAUAUUUUUGAUUUAGACGACUUCCUAGACGACUUACUUGUAAGUCACCGAGAAGACUUUAAUAUUUUUAGCGGGAAUCUAAAAUAUUUUUAGCGGGAAACUAAAAUAGAAGACUUCCUAGAUGACUUACAAGUAAGUCGUCUGGUUUAAAUUAUUUAAGCGGAAAAUUAAUUUUCUUAAAAAUUUUAGGCGGAAAUAUUUGGACGACUGAAUUAUAAGCCGUAUGCGUAAUAUUAUUCACCAGACGAUUGAAAUAUAAGUCGUCCACACCCUAAACAUAACCCCUAAACUUAAUUAUCUAAUUAAACACUUCAUAAAAUCAAAUUAAACUUGAAAAGUGUUUACUAUACACAAAAAUAAACACAUACAUGUGAAAAUUAAUUUUUCAAAAAAACAUUUCAGCUUUCCAAAAUCUAACCUUAAUAAUACAUAUAUACUACAACAUAUGUUUGCCAAACCCCUAAACCAAAGAAUAUCAUGAUUCACUACUUCCACUUAUCUAUCUUCAAAACAAAUCAAUGUUAUCAUAUCUUAAUUUAUAUUACUUAAAACUGUUUAUAAUUACAUGAUUUUUAUUUUUCACUCAUCAAAGUAUUUUUUACAAAAUUUAUAAAUUAUUUUUAAGGUAAACUGGUACCAAUACUUCCUAGGCCUGGGCGUUCGGUGUACCAUUCGGGUUCGGAUUGGGUGAAACGGGUUAUCGGUCUUUCGGAUCUAAGGAUAUAAACACCAUUCGGUUUAUUUGAUUUUUCGGUACAUUCUCGGUUCGGAACUCUUCGGGAUCGGUUCGGUUCGGAGGAUGAUUUCAAGAUCCGUGAAAACCCGAAGUAUAAAUGGUUUCGGUUCGAGUCCGGUUUAUUGUAACCAAAGCAACCGAAAGAAAAAAAAA
RNA transcript from Brassica rapa (field mustard), 4066 nucleotides. RefSeq lists it as uncharacterized. NCBI's taxonomy places the organism in Eukaryota, Viridiplantae, Streptophyta, Magnoliopsida, Brassicales, Brassicaceae. The record is from RefSeq and is a predicted model, not a curated record.